AGAUCUUACAAAGUGUGCUUGCCUCUGCCUCCCAAGCGCUGGGAUUAAAGGCAUAUGCCACCAUGCCUGGGCAAGUUACUUUUACUGUGGUGUUUUAUCUUUGGUUAUUGAUGAGCACAAGAAGCUCCACUUUGUGCUUAGUCUAUGAAAGUAGUUGUCUUUUACAAGAGAAAGACUGAGAAAUACUUGGUGUUGCAUUUUCUAAAAACAAUGCAAAGAUGAGAUCAACGAGAGAUAAGAAUACUGAGAGUUUCAGGUACUAGACACAUGGAGGACACCAUGGUCACACGAUUCUUAUUACUGAAGCGUCGGGUUACUUUAAAUCCAUGGACUGUUUGUGCUUUGAAAUUCCAGUACUGUUGCCAUUGAUAACCCCCUUUUGUCCCAUGUCCUAUCUUGGAGGAUUUCACUCAUGUUAGAACUUUAAAAAGCAGACACCAUGCAGGGCCCCCCCAGAAUACGUGUCCUGCUGGGAUAACUUGCUUCUUAUAUGUCAGCAUUAUGCUUUAUGGAAUGGAGCCAAUAUGAAAAUGUCCUUUUAAGGGCAUAGCUUCUGUUUAUUGAGUUUUGGUGUCUACAAUUUGCUGCACUGUGAUAAUCUACAUGUCAUCUUAUUCAAGCUUUAGAUCAGCUUCAUGAUGUUUUACAAGAAACUGGAGUUCAGAGAGGCUAAGUAAUUUGGCCAGUUAUAUACAAGACAGAACUAAGCCAAACACUUGACUUACGAACACAUACAAAGCUGGUUAGUCCUACAGGUGUAAAUGAACUGUUUAUAGUGAUGUUUAAAGUUCUUAGUGGAGCACACCAGAGCUUCCUCUUGGCUCUGAUGAGACUCUAAGCUGUGGGUGUCUAGGCAAGGUUUGUUCCUCUGCUGCUGGUGAUAGAACCCAGCGCCUUCUGUGCGUUCUGCCACGCUGGUUAUUUUUACAUCGGUGUGAGUUUCACUUAGUGUUUCCUAAGCCUAUACCUCUUCAUCAACCAGAUGCUGGAAAUCUAAAGUCCUAGGGCCUGGGAAAGGGAGUUUGUCAGUGAGGGUGCAGUUUUCAUUGAGAGGUGAUAGACGUUGUGAUAAAUGUCAGUUGUUUUCUGUAGCCUUUGCUCAUGGCUUUACCUGGCAUGGAAAAUAUUUAUUCAGACUUGGAAAGUGUUGUACGUUGUGUUGUACACAACCGACUGUUGUACAGUAUUGUUAUUGUCACUUAUGCAGCUGUAUUUGAACGAAUCCAUUUAAGACUGGUGCUGUGCAAUAUAGUUCCUAGAUGUGGUCCAGGGAAGAGAACUGAGCCUGUCUUUUAAAAUGUUAAUGCAGCUUACCGAAGUGGAGCCCCUCCCAGACACCUCUCUCAUUUGGGCUCUUCUUACUCCAAUCCCAAUGGAACAGUUCCUAACUGAUUGUGUAUAAGGUGGGGUAGGAGGGUCUACUGUGGUCAAUCAUGACUGUCCCUCUGCAGGGAGAGUCUUACCUUCUUACAGUCUAAAGCUGCUUCCUUUCCUUGAGUUUGUUGUACUUUGUUUUUGUAAAUGUUGUGAAUUCUACAUACGUUUGUAAAGAGAAUUGUUCAACAUUUCUAUCAAAUGUUUACAGAUCUUUUAAUGAAUAAAGACAUUUUAA
This 1612-nucleotide long non-coding RNA is filed under the name Rattus norvegicus (Norway rat). RNAcentral describes it as "long non-coding RNA NONRATT015645". The record is from RNAcentral. Lineage: Eukaryota; Metazoa; Chordata; Mammalia; Rodentia; Muridae.